CCUACGGGUGGCAGCAGUGGGGAAUAUUGCACAAUGGGCGAAAGCCUGAUGCAGCAACGCCGCGUGAAGGAAGAAGGGUUUCGGCUCGUAAACUUCUAUCAACAGGGACGAAAGACAUGACGGUACCUGACUAAUAAGCCCCGGCUAACUACGUGCCAGCAGCCGCCGGAAUACGUAGGGGGCAAGCGUUAUCCGGAAUUACUGGGUGUAAAGGGUGAGUAGGCGGCAUGGUAAGCCAGAUGUGAAAGCCUUGGGCUUAACCCGAGGAUUGCAUUUGGAACUAUCAAGCUAGAGUACAGGAGAGGAAAGCGGAAUUCCUAGUGUAGCGGUGAAAUGCUUAGAUAUCGCGCAGAACCCCGAUUGCGAAGGCAGCGUACCGGCUCCAAACUGACGCUGAGGCACGAAAGCGUGGGUAUCGAACAGGAUUAGAUACCCCAGUAGUC
Molecule: ribosomal RNA, 443 nt
Filed under: uncultured bacterium
Lineage: Bacteria
Description: partial 16S ribosomal RNA
Rfam family: Bacterial small subunit ribosomal RNA
Source: RNAcentral